CUUCCCAAAUCUCGUCGACGAGGAAUCAUGGAAAGACGCCUCCGAAUCCAUCCUCACCUACAAGCCCCUGCUCUCCGUUGUCUGCUCCGAGCAGCUCAAAUUCUUCCUGUGCUCCGUCUACUUCCCGAUGUGCAACGAGAAAGUGAGUUCAAUCAGAGAAGAAUCGCACAUUUUUAUCAUUUCAUCGUUCAAAAAAAUUUCAGCUAGCCAACCCAAUUGGUCCAUGCCGUCCAUUGUGUCUUUCCGUCCAGGAAAAGUGUCUUCCAGUGCUGGAAAGUUUCGGUUUCAAGUGGCCCGAUGUGAUUCGUUGUGAUAAGUUCCCGUUGGAGAACAAUCGAGAGAAAAUGUGCAUGAAAGGGCCAAAUGAGCAAGGAGCAAUUCAAGAUGAGAGGGCAAAGUUUGCAGCGAAAGAAAGUG
This 417-nucleotide small RNA is filed under the name Caenorhabditis elegans. RNAcentral describes it as "Unclassified non-coding RNA F54A5.6". The record is from RNAcentral. Lineage: Eukaryota; Metazoa; Nematoda; Chromadorea; Rhabditida; Rhabditidae.